This 1973-nucleotide ribosomal RNA is filed under the name human gut metagenome. RNAcentral's name for it is "bacterial LSU rRNA". It matches the Rfam family "Bacterial large subunit ribosomal RNA", at positions 1 to 1985 of the family's 2925-position model. The record is from RNAcentral.
UUAAGUGAACAAGGGCAUACGGCGGAUGCCUUGGCGCCAAGAGCCGAUGAAGGACGCGGUAAGCUGCGAAAAGGCAUGGGUAGGAGCAAGCAUCCAGUGAUCCAUGCAUAUCCGAAUGGGGCAACCCACCAUCAGUCAUGUGAUGGUACGAAAGAGGCAGACCUGGGGAACUGAAACAUCUAAGUACCCAGAGGAAAAGUAAUCAAUUGAGAUUCCCUAAGUAGCGGCGAGCGAAAGGGGAAGAGCCCAAACCAUGAAACUUCGGUUUUGUGGGGUUGAGGACCGGCAAAAAGAGGAAACUUCUUAGUCGAAUGGUUUGGAAAGGCCAUGCACAGAAGGUAAAACACCUGUAGGCGAAAAGAAGUCAAUCGGGCUGGUAUCCAGAGUACUGCGAGACACGUGAAACCUUGCAGGAAGCAGGGGGGACCACCCUCCAAGGCAAAAUACUACUUGGCGACCGAUAGCGCAUAGUACCGUGAGGGAAAGGUGAAAAGAACCCCGGGAGGGGAGUGAAAUAGAACCUGAAACCGUAUGUCUACAAGCAGUCGAAGCACCUUAAGAGUGCGACGGCGUGCCUAUUGAAGAAUGAACCGGCGAGUUACAUUAUGUUGCGAGGUUAAGUGGGAGACACGGAGCCGAAGCGAAAGCGAGUCUUAAUAGGGCGACUAGUAACAUGGUGUAGACCCGAAACCGCAGUGAUCUAUCCAUGGUCAGGUUGAAGCGCAGGUAAAAAUGCGUGGAGGACCGAACCCGUGAGUGUUGAAAAACUUUGGGAUGAACCGUGGAUAGGGGUGAAAUGCCAAUCGAACGCGGAGAUAGCUGGUACUCCCCGAAAUAGCUUUAGGGCUAGCCUCAGGGAAGAUUAUAGACGGUAGAGCACUGAUCUGGCAAGGGGGCGUAAAGCCUACCGACCCUAGUCAAACUUCGAAUGGCUAUAAUUAAGACCCUGGGAGUCAGACUGCGAGUGAUAAGACCCGUAGUCAAGAGGGAAACAGCCCAGACCGCCGACUAAGGUCCCCAAUGCUGUACUAAGUGGAAAAGGAUGUAAGACUUCAUAAACAACCAGGAUGUUGGCUUAGAAGCAGCCACCAUUAAAAGAGUGCGUAAUAGCUCACUGGUCGAGAGGCCUUGCGCCGAAGAUGUCCGGGGCUCAAGUACAGAACCGAAGUCGCGGCAGGAUUAUAUAAUUCUGGGUAGGGGAGCGUUGUAUAUCCGACUGAAGGUGUACCGGAAGGAGCGCUGGAGGAUAUACAAGAGAGAAUGCCGGUAUGAGUAGCGAAAAGAACAGUGAGAAUCUGUUCCACCGAAAGCCUAAGGUUUCCUGAGCAACGCUCGUCGACUCAGGGUAAGUCGGGACCUAAGCCGAGGCAAAAAGCAUAGGCGAUGGACAACAGGUUAAUAUUCCUGUACCGCUUCAAAUCGUUUGAGCAAUGGAGUGACACAGAAGGUAGCUUGAGCACGCGAAUGGAUGUGCGUGUCGAAGGUGGUAGGUUGCAGUAUAGGUAAAUCCGUACUGUAUAAGACCGAGAACUGAUAGAUAGACGAUACUUCGGUAAAGUCAAAUUCAAGUGAGCCAUGCUGUCGAGAAAAGCUUCUAGUGAGAGAUGAGGCGCCCGUACCGAAACCGACACAGGUAGGCGGGGAGAGAAUCCUAAGGUGCGCGGGACAACCCUCGUUAAGGAACUCGGCAAAUUGUAUCCGUAACUUAGGGAUAAGGAUAGCCGGAGGAUGUGAAGGGAUUUACUUCUGGAGCGUCAGCCGGUGGCACAAGAGAGGCCCAAGCGACUGUUUAGCACAAACACAGGUGCCUGCAAAAGAGAAAUCUGACGUAUAGGUGCUGACACCUGCCCGGUGCUGGAAGGUUAAGAGGAGGGCUUAGAGGAAACUCGAAGGCUUGAAUUGAAGCCCCAGUAAACGGCGGCCGUAACUAUAACGGUCCUAAGGUAGCGAAAUUCCUUGUCGGGUAAGUUCCG